GUGAAUCAUCGAAUCUUUGAACGCAAAUUGCAAUCUCUUCGGAGAGUAAGCCUGUUUGAGGGUCAGCCUAAAAAAAAUAAACGUAGUAGCUGUUUUGCGGUGAAAUUUGUCGGUAAUUGGGUCAUCUUAAACCUUUGGGUUUUUUAAGCGGCUUAAAAUUUUCUUUACGAUUCCACGAACGUUUCUAAGAUUUUAGUUCUUACACACGUUUAAGGUAUUGAUCUUUAUUAGACGUGGCCGUUGCAUCGGAUCGCGUCUAUAACUAUUUCGUUAACUGACCUCAUACAGGUAAGAACACCCG
RNAcentral lists this unclassified non-coding RNA (301 nucleotides) under Glomus sp. Its description in RNAcentral is "partial contains 5.8S ribosomal RNA and internal transcribed spacer 2". The stretch from base 1 to 65 matches the Rfam family "5.8S ribosomal RNA", at positions 84 to 154 of the family's 154-position model. Lineage: Eukaryota; Fungi; Glomeromycota; Glomeromycetes; Glomerales; Glomeraceae. The record is from RNAcentral.